Molecule: long non-coding RNA, 1763 nt
Filed under: Xyrichtys novacula (pearly razorfish)
Lineage: Eukaryota; Metazoa; Chordata; Actinopteri; Labriformes; Labridae
Source: RNAcentral
GGAUAAGCGCUCCUUCUCUUUAUGCCCUCAGCCAAGUUACAUAACCAACCACAUGGCCCCCAAAUGUCCCCCAGCACCAAAGCUUCAAGAUAAAUGUGGACAGAUGAGUAGCAGGAGCAGCACAUAACCAGAAUGAUCGAGCGGGCGCCCCCCUUCAUCUGUGUUUUAGUCAGUAAGGCUCAUGACACACUCAGCAUUUAGCUUUGGAGCUCUACCUCCCUCUACUUCCCAAAUGACAUAGGGAAAGAAAAGAAAGGGAGAAAACAUGUUGAGAGACAUCAGGUGCUCUUCUACAGGGGACCUCAUUUGGCCCAGGUGCAGAAGAAGCUUUUGCUCGCCUCACUACCCUGGUGGUCUAACAUUUGUGGGAAACUGUCUCCUCUAAUGGUGUCAUUUCAGGAGAAAAGCCCACGUCUCUGUUCUUUCCUGGAUCUGAUUGUGUCUAAAAAUGUUCUUUCACCUCUUUGCUUUAAAGCUGUGAGUCGCCCUCCUUUUUAAACAAUCUUCGAACAAACUUCAAAGGAUCCCUAUAAAAGGCCGUUCUCACUCAUUUCUUCCUCUCUCUCCUCUGAUAAACGGUUUCUGAGCUCCUCUUGCAGUACAUUAAUUCCCUCGGUCUUAUCUGCUGUCACCUUUGCCUGCUGUUUUUCUCAGCUGUCUCCUCUACUCCACCAAUUUGUCCAUUUCACUCUGGGAUCUGGAGCUACCUGGCUGCUCUCUCUCUACAAACUUCCCCUCCUUUAUUAUAAAUCUGUCAGCACCAAAUGCAUAAAUAAUGUCUCCAAUCCUCUCUAAUUUAGUCUAAUAUCAUAAUAAGAGCCCUGUUUAUUGUAUGUCAUUCUUUCCUGUCAGCUGUUGUUGAUUAAGAGUAAAAUCUAAAGCUUAAUUAAUGUAUGAAAUCAAUUGUUCAAGAAAUAAAAUACAGCAGACACAGGCAAAUUACAAUUGUCUGCACCUUCCUCAUUGAAUGUUGCACUGAUCUCAUAAAACUGCUGUUUUCUGUUUGAAGACAGAGACUGUUUGGACUGUUUGACUUGUUAACACAGAAUGUUCAGUACUUUGAGGCAGUCUGAGCCGCAUUUAUGGAGCUUGGCAGUUCACAGCAUUUGUUCACAUAGUGUUUUAAUGGAGGGAAACAUCUCCAGCGGCGGCCCUUCACUUCUCCACAGGCGAACAGACCGCACACUUCCUGGAAAAAGACCCGGUGGUUGAUUCAUAGAAACCAAGCCCAAGUGCUGGACACCGCAGCAGGACCAGACAGACCAGCAGACAUCAGGAGAUCAUUUGGGUCAGAUUUAUUAACAAGUGUUUCAAGAAAUGAAACAGGAGAGCAAGUUUUUGGGUCGGCUGAUUAGGUUUGAAUCUCUCAGAGAGUCGUAAGAUAAAAAGAAAUAGCCUUGUGCAUUUGCUUGGUUUUCAAAUGCUUGUAUUUCUGUUUAUAUAAAAAACCCAAAUCUUAAGGUCCAUAAGUUUUCCCUAAAGUUUCAGUAAAUUAUUACACUAUACAGUGAAAUAUCAUCCUAUACUAUGAUAUUUUUAUCAUACUGUACUAUGACAUUAUUAUUAUUAAUACUAUUGUAUUUUUAUCAUACUAUACUAUGAUAUUUUUAUCUUACUAUACCAUAAUAUUUUUACCAUACUUAAAUUUGACACGUAGUAGUAUGAUAAAAAAGAUAAGCCACAACAUUGGUGGGACAGUGGUGUAAUGGUUAUCACUGAUGCCUUACAGAAAGAUGGUCAUGGGUUCAAAUCCUGGUCAGGCA